RNAcentral lists this small RNA (82 nucleotides) under uncultured Thiogranum sp. RNAcentral's name for it is "t44 RNA". It matches the Rfam family "t44 RNA", at positions 13 to 95 of the family's 95-position model. From Rfam's summary of the family: This family consists of a number of bacterial RNA genes of between 135 and 170 bases in length. The t44 gene is found between the map and rpsB genes in all species in the full alignment apart from Shigella flexneri. The record is from RNAcentral. Lineage: Bacteria; Pseudomonadati; Pseudomonadota; Gammaproteobacteria; Chromatiales; Ectothiorhodospiraceae.
CUUAAUCCACACAUACGUCGACACAUGUGGCUGGGUGCCUGAUUGAGUUCGGGUUGCCGCAUGGGACGUAUGGAGGCCCAAC